RNAcentral lists this ribosomal RNA (468 nucleotides) under uncultured bacterium. RNAcentral describes it as "partial 16S ribosomal RNA". It matches the Rfam family "Bacterial small subunit ribosomal RNA", at positions 28 to 507 of the family's 1533-position model. The record is from RNAcentral.
GACGAACGCUGGCGGCGUGCUUAACACAUGCAAGUCGAACGGAAAGGCCCUGCUUUUGUGGGGUGCUCGAGUGGCGAACGGGUGAGUAACACGUGAGUAACCUGCCCUUGACUUUGGGAUAACUUCAGGAAACUGGGGCUAAUACCGGAUAGGAGCUCCUGCUGCAUGGUGGGGGUUGGAAAGUUUCGGCGGUUGGGGAUGGACUCGCGGCUUAUCAGCUUGUUGGUGGGGUAGUGGCUUACCAAGGCUUUGACGGGUAGCCGGCCUGAGAGGGUGACCGGCGACAUGGGGACUACGAUACGGCCCAGACGCGUACGGGAGGCAGCAGUGGGGAAUAUUGCACAAUGGGCGGGCGUCUGAUGCAGCGACGCCGCGUGCGGGAUGACGGCCUUCGGGGUGUGAACCGCAGUCGCCUGUGACGAAGCGUGAGUGACGGUAAUGGGUGAAGAAGCACCGGCUAACUACGUG